Molecule: non-coding RNA, 764 nt
Filed under: Perkinsus marinus ATCC 50983
Lineage: Eukaryota; Perkinsozoa; Perkinsida; Perkinsidae
Description: Eukaryotic large subunit ribosomal RNA
Rfam family: Eukaryotic large subunit ribosomal RNA
Source: Rfam by way of RNAcentral
AAGGCCUGAUGUGUGUGAGAUUACCCGCUGAAUUUAAGCAUAUAAGUAAGCGGAGGAAAAGAAACUAACUAGGAUUCCCUUAGUAAUGGCGAAUGAACAGGGAUCAGCUCAGUGCCAAAUCGGAAUCACUUGUGGUUCUGAAAUGUGGCUUGAAGGCAGUACCAGUGGCAUCGCGGACGAAAGUCUCUUGGAAAAGAGCGUCAUAGAGGGUGAGAAUCCCGUGAGUCGUUCGCCGUUUGUCACGUACGGUCUGCGUUCUAACGAGUCGCGUUCCUUGGGAUUGGAGCGUAAACGGGUGGUAAAUUUCAUCCAAAGCAAAAUAUAUACUCGAGACCGAUAGCACAAAAGUACCGUGAGGGAAAGGUGAAAAGAACUUUGAGAAGAGGGUUAAAUAGUGCCUGAAAUCGUUGAGAAGGAAGCGGAUGCCGCCGUUGCAUAUGCUGAUUGUAGGAUUGCUGCUCGCUCCUGUCUUCUGCUACUCAUUCACAGACCUGGUCGUGUUGAGCAGUUGUUUGGCAGAUGUUAGUGGUGUUUCCUACUUUCAGUCGUCAGCAUCACUGGCUGAGUGGAAAUAAUCCUUGGAUGCUAAUUGGUUCGCUAUCUGUGAAUUGGUUGCUUCCUUGCGAUACUCACUACUCGGUCAGUGAGGAAGUGCGUUUGCUGGUCAACGAGCUUUCUACUGUCAUUACCCUGCGCUUUUCGAUUCGUCGAGGACCAGGAUGUGGCUUUGAGAUUGUUCGCACUUAGUAAUCGCGAUGCUGGCU